CUGGUUCGUUUCUUCGCACAUCAAGCCCAUGAGGAAGGUCGCCUCCAAAAUGGUUGCCGCCCUUUUGAGCCAUGAUAAUCAAAUGCAGGAGAUAUGGAAGCAGCUUAACAAGCAUAUAUCUUUGAAGACAAGUCAGUUCAGAGCAAGUUAGGAAGAAGACCAAAGCUUUGUUAUUUCUUUGGUUCUCUUUCUUGUGAUGAUUAAAAAAAUGUAUAAUCCAUCUCUCGAACAGAAGCCCUUGCUGUAUAGGAUUUGCCCCUUAGAAUUUAUUUAUGAAAUACAGUUGAUUGUACUAAUUCAAAUCAAAGUUAAAUAUGUAAAUAAAAGAAAGGUUUCAGUGUGCAA
Telopea speciosissima is the source of this 345-nucleotide long non-coding RNA. RefSeq lists it as uncharacterized. NCBI's taxonomy places the organism in Eukaryota, Viridiplantae, Streptophyta, Magnoliopsida, Proteales, Proteaceae. The record is from RefSeq and is a predicted model, not a curated record. The transcript has 2 exons.